GGAAAUACUGGAGCUAAUACAUGCAACUAAACCCCAACGUAAGGCGGGGUGCAAUUAUUAGAACAGACCAAACGUUUUCGGACGUUGUUUGUUGACUCUGAAUAAAGCAGUUUACUGUCAGUUUCGACUGACUCUAUCCGAAAAGGGUGUCUGCCCUUUCAACUAGAUGGUAGUUUAUUGGACUACCAUGGUUGUUACGGGUAACGGAGAAUAAGGGUUCGACUCCGGAGAGGGAGCCUUAGAAACGGCUACCACGUCCAAGGAAGGCAGCAGGCGCGAAACUUAUCCACUGUUGAGUAUGAGAUAGUGACUAAAAAUAUAAAGACUCAUCCUUUUGGAUGAGUUAUUUCAAUGAGUUGAAUACAAAUGAUUCUUCGAGUAGCAAGGAGAGGGCAA
RNAcentral lists this ribosomal RNA (396 nucleotides) under Caenorhabditis briggsae. Its description in RNAcentral is "SSU rRNA". It matches the Rfam family "Eukaryotic small subunit ribosomal RNA", at positions 151 to 558 of the family's 1831-position model. The record is from RNAcentral. Lineage: Eukaryota; Metazoa; Nematoda; Chromadorea; Rhabditida; Rhabditidae.